This 221-nucleotide long non-coding RNA is filed under the name Elaeis guineensis (African oil palm). RNAcentral's name for it is "long non-coding RNA (EGUI_LNC058068)". The record is from RNAcentral. Lineage: Eukaryota; Viridiplantae; Streptophyta; Magnoliopsida; Arecales; Arecaceae.
GAUAUGGAGGAGUCCUUCUCUCAGAAAGACUUCGUCGUUUGGGUGCAAACAUCAGAUAUGUGAAGACCCUCUUCAUGUGUAAUAAGGGAUGCACAAAAUCUCCUAUCUUUUACAUGGAGAUUUCACUUGGCGACCUACACUUGGAUGCCACAAAUCUUGCAUGAGGCAUGAGAAAUCUUUUUUUGAAAAAAAAAGAUUCCUUCUAAGGCAUAUCAAAUCCU